RNAcentral lists this ribosomal RNA (885 nucleotides) under uncultured bacterium. Its description in RNAcentral is "bacterial SSU rRNA". It matches the Rfam family "Bacterial small subunit ribosomal RNA", at positions 8 to 916 of the family's 1533-position model. The record is from RNAcentral.
AGAGUUUGAUCCUGGCUCAGGACGAACGCUGGCGGCGUGCUUAACACAUGCAAGUUGAACGGAAUAUGUUGGAAGGGUAACCGGAAGGCAUAUUUAGUGGCGAACGGGUGAGUAAUGCGUGAGAACGUAUCCUCAAGAGGGGGACAACAUUGGGAAACCGAUGCUAAUACCCCAUAAGCCGGGAGGUAAAAGGAGCAAUCCGCUUGAGGAGCGGUUCAUGUCCUAUCAGCUGGUUGGUGAGGUAACGGCUCACCAAGGCGAAGACGGGUAGCCGGCCUGAGAGGGUGAACGGCCACACUGGAACUGAGAGACGGUCCAGACUCCUACGGGAGGCAGCAGUGGGGAAUAUUGGGCAAUGGGGGAAACCCUGACCCAGCGACGCCGCGUGAGGGAAGAAGGCCUUAGGGUCGUAAACCUCUGUUGUGUGGGAAGAAGAGCGUGACGGUACCACACGAGGAAGUCCCGGCUAACUACGUGCCAGCAGCCGCGGUAAUACGUAGGGGACGAGCGUUGUCCGGAUUUACUGGGCGUAAAGGGCGCGUAGGCGGUCAUUUAAGUCAGCUGUGAAAUGGUUUGGCUUAACCGGAUCAUGCGGUUGAAACUGGAUGACUGGAGCGCUGGAGAGGCAAGUGGAAUUCCCAGUGUAGCGGUGAAAUGCGUAGAUAUUGGGGAAGAACACCGGUGGCGAAGGCGACUUGCUGGCCAGCAACUGACGCUGAGGCGCGAAAGCCAGGGGAGCAAACGGGAUUAGAUACCCCGGUAGUCCUGGCCGUAAACGAUGAAUGCUAGGUGUGGGCAUCGAGAGGUGUCCGUGCCGGAGCUAACGCGAUAAGCAUUCCGCCUGGGGAGUACGAUCGCAAGAUUGAAACUCAAAGGAAUUGACGG